Passer domesticus (house sparrow) is the source of this 2489-nucleotide long non-coding RNA. RefSeq lists it as uncharacterized. Lineage: Eukaryota; Metazoa; Chordata; Aves; Passeriformes; Passeridae. The record is from RefSeq and is a predicted model, not a curated record. The transcript is spliced from 8 exons.
AGAAGUUCAGUAAGUCCUCACAUAUAUUUAACUGUACAGAAAAACAGAAGUAUAGCUCCAGAUAUUGAUUGUGCUCUCCAGAAUUCUUCCCCCUGGUACAAAUUGAAGACUCUUCCAACAAUACAAACAAAACCUUUAACAAUGAUUUAUCACAUAACCCUUCAUACAGUCUGUUUAAGUCUCCAUUACUGGAGGGAUUUAAGACUUGUAGAUGUGGCUCUUGGGGACAUGGGUUAGGCUUGGCAGUGUUGGGCUAAAAGUUCAACUUGACCUCAGAGGUCUUUCCCAACCUAAAUGAUCUUGUAUUUGCCUUGACAUGCAGGGAAAUAUACAGGAUACAAUGAAGGUCAAGAUGGGUUUGAAUGAAGAUUGGGUGCUGAGGAAUGGGGAGAUUUUUGGAGGAACAUGUAAUGAGUUGACUUCACGGGUUUGCAGUAUAAACUGACACUAUGGUGAUGGGUCGGAAGUGCAGGCAGAGCUGCAGCUUGGACAAGUUCAGGGUCCCUGGUGUUAAUUGGUGAUUGCCAGCUGCUGUGAGACUGGGCCAGCCAUGGGAAGAAGGUGAGCCAUGGAAACCUGUAGUCUGUGCUGGAAAAUAAGUGACUGAAAAUGUUCGUCGGUGACUAACUUGCUACAAGACGUUAUUUCUGGGACGUCUCUUGACCCGUGUGAACAGAUGAUGAACAAUUUCUCCUUUCUGGGUUGGCUUCUUUGCCUCUUGGUGCAGAAGUUGUCCUGAAAGCAUGCCAGGAAACCAAAGUCAUAGAGAAGUGCUCUGGAACUGGAGUGAGAACGACAUGCUUGAUGAAACAUGUCAAGCUACAUUAUAUUGUAGGACUGCCUAAUCAAAAGGGCCUGCAAGAAGAAUUGGGUUAUUUCAUGAAGGCUGAGGUCCUCCAGCAGAAAUGUGACAUAUAGUGCAGUGGAUAGUCCUGUGUAUAAGAGGAGAAUUUUAAAUUCAAAUGUUCUCUGAAACUCCAAAACCAGAAGGAAACAAAAGGAGAAAUCAAGCUACAGAGGAGAGGUGAAGCAAGGCAGGAAUUCUGUCUCAGACAUGGGAAAUGUCCUCUCCAAGCACAUAAGGAAGUCUGUUUUGCAGCAGCAGAUACCAUCAAGAUCCUGAAAAUCUGUGGCAUAGCUGAACCUUUUGUGUCUGUGAGAAAACUCUAUUCAGAGUGGAUGAAGGGCCCAGGCAGGUUGAUCAAGAACUCUUCUCUUGGAGGAAUUCUUCCAGAUGGCUUUUUCAGCAACUAUUUCCUAUGGCAAUUCCAGAUGGGCCCAUACCACAAGUUUGGGAUCCAGAUUUGGAUUUGGACCUGACGUUUAUCAGAGUUUAGGAAUAGCUGAACCGAGGAUCUGAGGUCAGGCUCUGGAGGAAUUAACAGCCUGCUGCAAAGACCUGGAUCAAGGGAAUCUCCCCCAAAUUUCAAGGCAUAGGUGUGGCAAAUACAAGGACUUGAUUUGAGCUGUCUCUAAGGUAUUUCAAUUUUAAAAUGAAAGACUUUCAGUGAAGUGGGAGGCUGUGAUUAUUGUUGUGCCUAAAGGAUGAAAUUGCAUAUGGGGAUCCGACGGACUGAGUGCUGUUGGAGAUUGUAACAAGAGACAGGAACUGCCUAAAAUGGUUUCCAGCUUAAAUACUCAUCCAAGGUCAAUAAGAGUAUCUGUGAGAAAGUAUUGAGAUCCCUGAUUUAUUAUCCAGCACUUUUACCACAAAAGGGUUACCUCAGUAUAAUUCUUGACUUGUUCAAGAAGAGGAUAAAAUACCUUAACAACACCAAACACCUAGGUGCAGAUAGAGACUUAGACUGCAAAUGCUCUGAGUUCCUCUUCAGGCUACAAAUUUCUCAUAUUUUCAAGAUUAAUGGCUUCUAAUCCGUUUUUAAAUGUUCCAUGUGGAUAGUGAAGGCGUAACUAUCAAAACACUGUAAAAUCAUAAUGUCUGUGUAGCUAUAAAUUACUGUUUUCAAAAUGAGCUGGAGGUCUCCAACUUAUUCUUAAGUGCAAAUUCUUAGAUGGUAUAAAAUUGCUCCAAAAAAUGACUGGGAGCAAGUUCUCUGGCUUUUGCCAAAGAGAAGGCAAUUAUGGAUCUACCUACUAACUCCAUAGCAGUGUCUGUCUUGGUGACACUGGAAUGGUCCUAAACAGUAUAAAUUGGAUAGAUCAAAAUCAUUUCAGAUUAGAGAUUGAUUGAAAGACAUGAGGCUUUUUUGCAUAUUUCUCUGAUAUGUUUUAUGCUUUUCAUUUGUCAAGUUCUGAACUACUUUGUAUGAGACUGCUGAUGAAUUCAACUCAUGCUAAAGUACAAGUUCCAUGACAGAUUGUUUUUAAAAAAAUGUUAUAUUGGCUUAGAGUAUUUUCUUAAGUGAAAUUAAUGCAUGGCAUUCCAGAAAACAGGUAAAAGAGAACUUCCAACUCAUUAUUAUUUGAUUUAAAUACAUAUGCAAUGAUUACUUCUAAAGAAAAUAAAAAAAGCAUGAUUUAAAAGAUCA